This 253-nucleotide ribosomal RNA is filed under the name uncultured prokaryote. RNAcentral describes it as "partial 16S ribosomal RNA". It matches the Rfam family "Bacterial small subunit ribosomal RNA", at positions 524 to 776 of the family's 1533-position model. The record is from RNAcentral.
UACGGAGGAUGCAAGCGUUAUCCGGAAUUAUUGGGCGUAAAGGGUCCGCAGGUGGUUAAUCAAGUCUGUUGUUAAAGAGCGAGGCUUAACUUCGUAGAGGCAGUGGAAACUGAUUAACUAGAGUACGGUAGGGGCAGAGGGAAUUCCCAGUGUAGCGGUGAAAUGCGUAGAUAUUGGGAAGAACACCGGUGGCGAAGGCGCUCUGCUGGGCCUGUACUGACGCUGAGGGACGAAAGCUAGGGGAGCGAAAGGG